UCGAGAAUUUUUCUCAAUGGGGGAAACCCUGAAGGAGCGACGCCGCGUGGAGGAUGAAGGUCUUCGGAUUGUAAACUCCUGUCAUUCGAGAACAAGGUCUGUGGAGUAACUACCGGCAGACUCGAUAGUGUCGAAAGAGGAAGGGACGGCUAACUCUGUGCCAGCAGCCGCGGUAAUACAGAGGUCCCGAGCGUUGUUCGGAUUCAUUGGGCGUAAAGGGUGCGUAGGCGGCAUGGCAAGUCGGGUGUGAAAUCCCGGGGCUCAACCCCGGAACUGCACUCGAUACUGCCGUGCUCGAGUGUUGGAGAGGAGACUGGAAUUUACGGUGUAGCAGUGAAAUGCGUAGAUAUCGUAAGGAAGACCGGUGGCGAAGGCUAGUCUCUGGACAACUACUGACGCUGAGGCACGAAGGCCAGGGGAGCAAACGG
This 428-nucleotide ribosomal RNA is filed under the name uncultured bacterium. RNAcentral describes it as "bacterial SSU rRNA". It matches the Rfam family "Bacterial small subunit ribosomal RNA", at positions 355 to 775 of the family's 1533-position model. The record is from RNAcentral.